RNAcentral lists this ribosomal RNA (900 nucleotides) under uncultured bacterium. Its description in RNAcentral is "bacterial SSU rRNA". It matches the Rfam family "Bacterial small subunit ribosomal RNA", at positions 8 to 916 of the family's 1533-position model. The record is from RNAcentral.
AGAGUUUGAUCCUGGCUCAGGAUGAACGCUGGCGGCGUGCUUAAUACAUGCAAGUCGAACGAGGGACUUCUGUCUUCGGAUGGAGGUUUCCUAGUGGCGAACGGGUGAGUAACGCGUUGGUGACCUGCCCCGAAGAGGGGGAUAACAGUUCGAAAGGACUGCUAAUACCUCAUGUGAUCAGCUGGAUUAGAUGCCUACUGAUUAAAGGCGAAAGCCGCUUUGGGAGGGGCCUGCGUCCCGUCAGCUAGUUGGUAGGGUAAUGGCCUACCAAGGCGAUGACGGGUAGGGGACCUGAGAGGGUGGCCCCCCACACUGGCACUGAAACACGGGCCAGACACCUACGGGUGGCAGCAGUAGGGAAUAUUGGACAAUGGGCGAAAGCCUGAUCCAGCAACGCCGCGUGCGCGAUGACGGCCUUCGGGUUGUAAAGCGCUUUUAGAGGAGAUGAGAAAGGACAGUAUCCUCAGAAUAAGCCUCGGCGAACUACGUGCCAGCAGCCGCGGUAAAACGUAGGAGGCUAGCGUUAUCCGGAUUUAUUGGGCGUAAAGCGCGUGCAGGCGGUUUGAUAAGUUGGAUGUGAAAUCUCCCGGCCUAACUGGGAGCGGUCGUUCAAAACUAUCAGACUAGAGAAUGGGAGAGGAAGGUGGAAUUCCGGGUGUAGUGGUGAAAUGCGUAGAUAUCCGGAGGAACACCAGUGGCGAAAGCGGCCUUCUAGACCAUUUCUGACGCUAAGACGCGAAAGCUAGGGUAGCAAACGGGAUUAGAGACCCCGGUAGUCCUAGCCGUAAACGAUGUAGACUUGGCGUUGGCGGAGUUAAAUCUGCCAGUGCCGAAGCUAACGCGUGAAGUCUACCGCCUGGGGACUACGACCGCAAGGUUAAAACUCAAAUGAAUUGACGG